GUUAUUUCUCAAUUGACUUCAUUUUGCUUUGUGCCAAGGUCCCCUGAGUAAUGUGAAAGAAAAUUAAAAUGCCUAUUCUGAUGUAAUGAUUGAAUAAAACAUAAAGGGAUAGUAACAGUCAAAUUAGAUCCUCUUGCUGCUUGUUGCCAAGAGUAGUUGGUUCAUUAAACCAAAGCAGGAUGGAAGUGAUGAGCAAUGUGCUUGCUCAAAGGAUUCCUCUCUUGAGAAGGUUGCUGGUGUUACUCUAGAUCCUUAAGAUCAUCUUCUGGUGCUUGCUGACUGCCUCUGAGGAAUAAGCCUUGAUGUCAUAUUACCUGUCUGUGAUCCAUCUGCCUUAGUUACUUUCUCUCAUGCUGCAUUGGUUUGGAAAAGAAAGAAAAGUCAGGAAAAUUGUGACUUUCACCUGUGUGAGUGCUUUGGAGAGAACAAGACUGAGUCUUCUUAUGAUUGCCAAGUCUUUGCCCAUUCAUCUACUGAUUGUGAAUAUUCUCAGAGAGGUACACAGGUGGGAAAGCAACAGAACAUCCCUGUAGCUACAUCUAGUACCUCUCCCUGUACAAGAGAGCACAGGUUUGCCCCAGAAGACAUUUCCUUGUGCUGUACUGAUAUGCUCUCAAGCUCUGGCUGAAGGGACUCCUGGUGAGCACUGUUGGUUUGCUCAGGAGGUGGAAUAACUCAUCUUUUCUGAAUGAGAAGAGCUAUAUUCUGAAAUAUACAGGUGCCAAUGAGCUCAAGGAAAUGAAACCUUUUUGAAGAACUCCACUUUUGGUCAGAUUUUA
This 779-nucleotide long non-coding RNA is filed under the name Cyanistes caeruleus (blue tit). RNAcentral describes it as "lncRNA (ENSCCEG00000000183.1)". Lineage: Eukaryota; Metazoa; Chordata; Aves; Passeriformes; Paridae. The record is from RNAcentral.